Long non-coding RNA from Nomia melanderi (Alkali bee), 971 nucleotides. RefSeq lists it as uncharacterized. The record is from RefSeq and is a predicted model, not a curated record. Lineage: Eukaryota; Metazoa; Arthropoda; Insecta; Hymenoptera; Halictidae.
UAUAAAAAUUAUUUCUGAUGCUUCUGUUGAUCACCACAGCGCCACGGUAAUAAAAAGUAUCACAAAAGUAUUACAUCAUAAGUUAUUUUAUCAAAGUGCCAUUUUACAAAUUUACGUAAAACAACCGGCAGGUUAUGUCACCAGAAAUUUCAUUUUUAUUGUUCUCGAAGAUUCGAAUUAUUACUUUGUGCAAUAAAAAAGGGAUACGAAAGACGACGUUCCAAUGAACACUGAGGCAUUUCACAAUCAGGAGCAUGUUUCCGGAUUCACAGAUUACGUCCGCAUGCGUAUAGUAACGAACUGAUAAGAACAGUUAUUCACAGACCCUAGAUUUUAUAUAUUAUACUUGUAGCAUUCGUAAAAGUGUAAAACACAAAGAAAGUAAACAAUUUUAGUGAAAUUUAAAAUGACUCCUAACAUCAAUCGUUCGGUAAACUAUAAUCACCAAAAUAAAAAAGUAAAAAAUCGGAGAGUACAGUAUUAAGCUGACCAGACAGUUCUCGUGUUUACCAUUAUCCAUAGUGUUUUACAUAGACAUCCAGUAUCAGAUAAAAUUUAAGAAAAUUUCUGAUUAACAUUCUUAGGUUUUUUUCAUAUUUUGAGAGAAAAAUCUUCAAAAUUAACGAGAAAAUGAAAAUGAGUGCUGGGCAAUGUGAAGAGAAAAUGACUGUAGGAAAAAAGAAAAGCUGGGAAGGCAAUAAGAAAACAUGAAAACAUCAAAAGAGGAAGGACGUUAGGAGAAGAAAUAAGUAAAAAGGGAAGAAUACAUCAUCAAGGAGAAAAUUGGACUUUAAUCAAGAAAUUACCGAGUGGAUCAUUUGCAACGAGUCAUUUACUGAAAAUUGGGUGCAAUAUGAAGUAUAUAUCGUACGAUGGUAUAUUUUCAGCUAUCUAAACAAAUUAUUUUUAAAAUAAAUGAACUACUAAACAGCAUAAUAGUAACACCAUAUUUAAUAGAAAUUACAAUUCGA